Molecule: ribosomal RNA, 452 nt
Filed under: uncultured bacterium
Lineage: Bacteria
Description: bacterial SSU rRNA
Rfam family: Bacterial small subunit ribosomal RNA
Source: RNAcentral
GAUGAACGCUGGCGGCGUGCCUAACACAUGCAAGUCGAGCGAUUUACUUCGGUAAAGAGCGGCGGACGGGUGAGUAACGCGUGGGUAACCUGCCCUGUACACACGGAUAACAUACCGAAAGGUAUGCUAAUACGAGAUAAUAUACUUUUAUCGCAUGGUAGAAGUAUCAAAGCUUUUGCGGUACAGGAUGGACCCGCGUCUGAUUAGCUAGUUGGUAAGGUAACGGCUUACCAAGGCGACGAUCAGUAGCCGACCUGAGAGGGUGAUCGGCCACAUUGGGACUGAGACACGGUCCAAACUCCUACGGGAGGCAGCAGUGGGGAAUAUUGCACAAUGGGCGAAAGCCUGAUGCAGCAACGCCGCGUGAGCGAUGAAGGCCUUCGGGUCGUAAAGCUCUGUCCUCAAGGAAGAUAAUGACGGUACUUGAGGAGGAAGCCCCGGCUAACUACGUG